UGCAGCAGGCGCGAAACCUUUACACUGCACGCCAGUGCGAUAAGGGGACCCCGAGUGAAAGGGCAUAUAGCCCUUUCUUUUCUGGAUCGUAGGGAGAUCCAGGAACAAGAGCUGGGCAAGACCGGUGCCAGCCGCCGCGGUAAUACCGGCAGCUCGAGUGAUGACCGAUUUUAUUGGGCCUAAAGCGUCCGUAGCUGGCCGGGCAAGUCCGUCGGGAAAUCCACCCGCUUAACAGGUGGGCGUCCGGCGGAAACUGUGCGGCUUGGGACAGGAAGGCUUGAGGGGUACGUUCGGGGUAGGAGUGAAAUCCCGUAAUCCUGAACGGACCACCGCCGUCGAAAGCACGUGCUCCCCCGCCGUGCCCCGAUUCGCCCGCCGCGCCC
Molecule: ribosomal RNA, 383 nt
Filed under: uncultured archaeon
Lineage: Archaea
Description: bacterial SSU rRNA
Rfam family: Archaeal small subunit ribosomal RNA
Source: RNAcentral